RNAcentral lists this ribosomal RNA (253 nucleotides) under uncultured bacterium. RNAcentral's name for it is "partial 16S ribosomal RNA". It matches the Rfam family "Bacterial small subunit ribosomal RNA", at positions 524 to 776 of the family's 1533-position model. The record is from RNAcentral.
UACGGAGGAUCCAAGCGUUAUCCGGAUUUAUUGGGUUUAAAGGGUGCGUAGGCGGCUUAUUAAGUCAGGGGUGAAAGACGGUGGCUCAACCAUCGCAGUGCCUUUGAUACUGAUGAGCUUGAAUACACUUGAGGUAGGCGGAAUGUGACAAGUAGCGGUGAAAUGCAUAGAUAUGUCACAGAACACCAAUUGCGAAGGCAGCUUACUAAAGUGUGAUUGACGCUGAGGUGCGAAAGCGUGGGGAGCAAACAGG